RNAcentral lists this ribosomal RNA (1493 nucleotides) under Lacticaseibacillus casei. Its description in RNAcentral is "bacterial SSU rRNA". It matches the Rfam family "Bacterial small subunit ribosomal RNA". The record is from RNAcentral. Lineage: Bacteria; Bacillati; Bacillota; Bacilli; Lactobacillales; Lactobacillaceae.
UGAUGACGCUGGCGGCGUGCCUAAUACAUGCAAGUCGAACGAGUUCUCGUUGAUGAUCGGUGCUUGCACCGAGAUUCAACAUGGAACGAGUGGCGGACGGGUGAGUAACACGUGGGUAACCUGCCCUUAAGUGGGGGAUAACAUUUGGAAACAGAUGCUAAUACCGCAUAGAUCCAAGAACCGCAUGGUUCUUGGCUGAAAGAUGGCGUAAGCUAUCGCUUUUGGAUGGACCCGCGGCGUAUUAGCUAGUUGGUGAGGUAAUGGCUCACCAAGGCGAUGAUACGUAGCCGAACUGAGAGGUUGAUCGGCCACAUUGGGACUGAGACACGGCCCAAACUCCUACGGGAGGCAGCAGUAGGGAAUCUUCCACAAUGGACGCAAGUCUGAUGGAGCAACGCCGCGUGAGUGAAGAAGGCUUUCGGGUCGUAAAACUCUGUUGUUGGAGAAGAAUGGUCGGCAGAGUAACUGUUGUCGGCGUGACGGUAUCCAACCAGAAAGCCACGGCUAACUACGUGCCAGCAGCCGCGGUAAUACGUAGGUGGCAAGCGUUAUCCGGAUUUAUUGGGCGUAAAGCGAGCGCAGGCGGUUUUUUAAGUCUGAUGUGAAAGCCCUCGGCUUAACCGAGGAAGCGCAUCGGAAACUGGGAAACUUGAGUGCAGAAGAGGACAGUGGAACUCCAUGUGUAGCGGUGAAAUGCGUAGAUAUAUGGAAGAACACCAGUGGCGAAGGCGGCUGUCUGGUCUGUAACUGACGCUGAGGCUCGAAAGCAUGGGUAGCGAACAGGAUUAGAUACCCUGGUAGUCCAUGCCGUAAACGAUGAAUGCUAGGUGUUGGAGGGUUUCCGCCCUUCAGUGCCGCAGCUAACGCAUUAAGCAUUCCGCCUGGGGAGUACGACCGCAAGGUUGAAACUCAAAGGAAUUGACGGGGGCCCGCACAAGCGGUGGAGCAUGUGGUUUAAUUCGAAGCAACGCGAAGAACCUUACCAGGUCUUGACAUCUUUUGAUCACCUGAGAGAUCAGGUUUCCCCUUCGGGGGCAAAAUGACAGGUGGUGCAUGGUUGUCGUCAGCUCGUGUCGUGAGAUGUUGGGUUAAGUCCCGCAACGAGCGCAACCCUUAUGACUAGUUGCCAGCAUUUAGUUGGGCACUCUAGUAAGACUGCCGGUGACAAACCGGAGGAAGGUGGGGAUGACGUCAAAUCAUCAUGCCCCUUAUGACCUGGGCUACACACGUGCUACAAUGGAUGGUACAACGAGUUGCGAGACCGCGAGGUCAAGCUAAUCUCUUAAAGCCAUUCUCAGUUCGGACUGUAGGCUGCAACUCGCCUACACGAAGUCGGAAUCGCUAGUAAUCGCGGAUCAGCACGCCGCGGUGAAUACGUUCCCGGGCCUUGUACACACCGCCCGUCACACCAUGAGAGUUUGUAACACCCGAAGCCGGUGGCGUAACCCUUUUAGGGAGCGAGCCGUCUAAGGUGGGACAAAUGAUUAGGGGAA